RNAcentral lists this transfer RNA (89 nucleotides) under Rasamsonia emersonii. RNAcentral's name for it is "tRNA-Glu". It matches the Rfam family "tRNA". Rfam says of the family: Transfer RNA (tRNA) molecules are approximately 80 nucleotides in length. The record is from RNAcentral. Lineage: Eukaryota; Fungi; Ascomycota; Eurotiomycetes; Eurotiales; Trichocomaceae. RNAcentral also lists the same sequence under 1 other name.
UCCCUAGUGGUGUAGCGGUAACAUAGCCGUCUUUCAUCCAAUCAGCUUGGAGAACACGGCCGCCCGGGGUUCGACUCCCCGCUAGGGAA